RNAcentral lists this transfer RNA (77 nucleotides) under Phormidium sp. RNAcentral describes it as "tRNA-Cys". It matches the Rfam family "tRNA". From Rfam's summary of the family: Transfer RNA (tRNA) molecules are approximately 80 nucleotides in length. Their secondary structure includes four short double-helical elements and three loops (D, anti-codon, and T loops). The record is from RNAcentral. Lineage: Bacteria; Bacillati; Cyanobacteriota; Cyanophyceae; Oscillatoriales; Oscillatoriaceae. RNAcentral also lists the same sequence under 1 other name.
GGUCAGGUAGCCAAGUGGUUGAAGGCAUCAGACUGCAAAUCUGAUUUUCGUCGUGGGUUCAAAUCCCACUCUGACCU